GGUGUACCUUUUAGAAAAUUAUAGAUAAUUAUAUUUUAUUUAUAAAAAAUUUCAAGAAAUUAUAGAAAGUUUUCAUUUGAAUACAUAUUGGAAUUCUACGGGGGCGAUACUUUAGGAGUAAUUUCUUAAAUCUCUCCCAAUUUUCAGAGAGAGUCUUAUCUAUUGUCUACUUGAAAGAUAUGAUGUCAUUCCUAUUUCUUUCAUUAAGGAUGGGAGGGAAAUAUUUCACCAAGAACUUUUAUGUCUUCUGCCAUGAACUCGCGAAGUUGGGUUCCAGAAAAUUCAGAUACACCUUGUCUCUAUCUCUUUGUGAAUAAGGGAACAAUCUUAACUUGAAGACAUCAUUUUCCGCUCUUGGAAUUUUGAAAUUGCUAUCAACUUGAGAAAAUUGCCGCAAGUGAAAGUGGGGAUCUUCAGUUGGUGUUGCACUUUAUUGGCCUAUAGCUUGAAGCACAUGGAACAUCAUAGGCUUAAACUCAAAUUGGAGUCAAGAAUGACAUACUCUCAAUUGGUCUUUCCUUGUAGUUGUCCAUGCCAAUAACAUCAACAGUAGGAUCAUCAUAACCAUGGAUUGAUAUUCAGAAUCGUGUACCAACUUGUGGUAUGCUUAAUCAAGUAUAGGGAAAGUUUGGAGUCUUUUUAAUGCUCUCCUAUUUUAGUGAUGCUAUGCUACAACAAUAAUGGGGAAGACAAAAUACUUUCAGCUUGAUUUUCUCAAGCUAAUCCUAUAUCUAGUUUCCCUUAGGUAUAACUAUGUUUCUUCAAAAGAAUCUAUUUACCCUAAGGGUAUAAAUAAUUAUAUUUAUUUAUUUAACGUUCAUUAAUCUUUCAAUUAAUUAACUACAUCCAAAUAGUUCAAAUAAAUCCACUUAAUGACAAUUUCUUUAGUAGAAGCUAAAACAAGUAUUAGGUGAUCAAACUAAAAUAGGAGAUAAUAGUAAAACAGUUUGAAGCAACUAUCACAAACAUGUAUAAUAUAACCACCAAAAUAAUACUUAAGAAAUCAUAUCAUUUUCCUAUAAUAGAGAUUACACAUGUAGUUACAUAAAUGAAGAUUACUUCAAGAGUUGAAGACUCCACUUGAUGACUUGAGCUGCUAAAUUGUCUCCUUAAAUCGUUGGUUGAAGGUUUGCUUCAUGGAUCUCGCCUAAAUGGUGGGAAUGAGGUGAAUAUGGAAUGGUAGGUAGGGUUGAUG
Molecule: long non-coding RNA, 1195 nt
Filed under: Cicer arietinum (chickpea)
Lineage: Eukaryota; Viridiplantae; Streptophyta; Magnoliopsida; Fabales; Fabaceae
Description: long non-coding RNA (CARI_LNC002733)
Source: RNAcentral